GCGCCACUUCCGGUUUCUCGGCGCUUCCCUUUCUGGCUUUCACAUAUGGCGGAGCUGGAGGCGCUGCUCGCGGCGCUCUUGGAACCGGACAAUGCGGAGCUUCGACGGGCCACCCUCAGGCUCCGCGAGGCGCUCAAGGACCCCGAAACCCCAUCCCGGCUCGCGGUGCUGCUCCGCCAGGCCUCCCAACCCCAGGUGCGUCAGAUGGCGGCCGUGGUGCUGCGGAGGCGCCUUUUGGGGCGAUGGAGGGGGACGGACCCCGAGCUGAGGGCCAGACUCCCAUCGCUGCUGGCCGAAGCCCUGGAUACCGAGACUGAGCACCCAGUAACGGUGGCACUGGCCCAACUGGGAGCACUGGUUUUGCGCCGGGGCGGGGAAGGAGCUUGGGGACCCCUCGGGACUUGGGUGACAGUGGCGGCGCAGGACCCCCGACCCCCCCGUCGCGAGACGGCGUUGUUGGUGCUGAGCGCCGCGCUGGAUACGGCCCCCGAGUCGUUAGCCCCCCACGCCCCAGCGGUAGCCACGCUGUGUCGGGGGGCUCUGGCUUUCGGGGGGCCCCCCCGACCCUCGCCUACGCCCUACGGGCUCUGGGGGGGCUGGCGGCCACCGUGGGGGACACCCAAACGGAGCUGCUGCGGUCGCUGCUGCCCGAGAUCCUGACAGCGCUGAAGCUCCUCCUGGACGGCGACGAGGGGUCCCUGUCGCCAUAUUUGAGGCCUUUCUGUCCAUUUUUGAGGAUGGCGGUGCUGAGGCGCUGGAGGUGCUGGAUGAGUUCCUGGAGGCCGAUCCUGCCGCCGUCACCCCUCACCUUCGCUCCCUGCUCGACCUCUGCCUGCAGGUGGCAGGGGAUGAAGGUCGAGGCGACGCCGUGAAGGUGAGGGCCCUCGACACCAUCACCUUCCUCGCCCAGAAGUGCCCCAAGGCGGUGCUGCGGGGGGGCUGCUGUCCCCGCUGCUCCAGGGCCUCCUGACCCCCCUGUGCGCCCCCCAACGACCCCACGAUGGCGCCCGGAACGCCGCCGCCAGGGUUCUGGACGCGUUGGCCGUGGGGCUGCCCCCCGAGAAACUCCUCCCGCAGCUGGGGCCGCGGUUGGGGGGCGCGUGGGGCAGCGGGGGGAGCGGCGCCCGCCAAGGGGCGCUGUUGGCCC
Molecule: RNA transcript, 1147 nt
Organism: Cuculus canorus (common cuckoo)
Lineage: Eukaryota; Metazoa; Chordata; Aves; Cuculiformes; Cuculidae
Exons: 13
Source: RefSeq, a predicted model, not a curated record